This is a long non-coding RNA of Erinaceus europaeus (western European hedgehog), 481 nucleotides long. RefSeq lists it as uncharacterized. The transcript has 2 exons. The record is from RefSeq and is a predicted model, not a curated record. NCBI's taxonomy places the organism in Eukaryota, Metazoa, Chordata, Mammalia, Eulipotyphla, Erinaceidae.
GUUCACCAAGGGGAGCCCACUGGCCUCUAGCCCCUGUGGUGAACAUUUGAUGGCCAUGCUGGUGGACCAUCUUAGAAACAGACCAUCCCCACCAGUUAAGUCUUGAGAUGAGUGACUACAACCUUGGCUAACAUCUUCACUACAUUUCAGCAUUGAAGCCAGAACCACUCAGCCACCGCAGUUCCAGAUACCUGACCUUCUAAAACUGUCCACAGUUGGCACAGCCCUAAUGUCCAUCACCCGUUGAGCUGAUGAAAUGAGGCUAGAUGGUGCAAUGGAAUCAUAUCUGCAAGAGGAAUGAAGUACUGUGACCUGCUGUAACUUGAGUAACACUUGAAAACAUUAUGGAAAUGGGAGAUUCAGUCACAAAAGACCCCAUAUGGGGGUUGUAUUGUUAUGUGGAAAUGUACAAACUAUUGUAUUUUAAGGUCAACUGUAAACCAUUAAUCCCCCAAUAAAGAAAAAAAUUUAAAAGACCCCA